CCUACGGGGGGCAGCAGUGGGGAAUAUUGCACAAUGGGGGAAACCCUGAUGCAGCGACGCCGCGUGAGUGAAGAAGUACCUCGGUACGUAAAGCUCUAUCAGCAGGGAAGAUAAUGACGGUACCUGUCCAAGAAGCCCCGGCCAAAUACGUGCCAGCAGCCGCGGUAAUACGUAGGGGGCAAGCGUUAUCCGGAUUUACCGGGGGUAAAGGGAGCGUAGACGGCUGCACAAGUCUGGAGUGAAAGCCCGGGGCUUAACCCCGGAACUGCUUUUGAAACUGGGCGGCUGGAGUGCAGGAGGGGGAGGCGGAAUUCCUAGUGUAGCGGUGAAAUGCGUAGAUAUUAGGAGGAACACCGGUGGCGAAGGCGGCUUACUGGACUGUAACUGACGUUGAGGCUCGAAAGCGUGGGGAGCAAACAGGAUUAGAUACCCGUGUAGUC
This 440-nucleotide ribosomal RNA is filed under the name uncultured bacterium. Its description in RNAcentral is "partial 16S ribosomal RNA". It matches the Rfam family "Bacterial small subunit ribosomal RNA", at positions 338 to 795 of the family's 1533-position model. The record is from RNAcentral.